UUUACCAAAUAAGUGUAGUGAUAUCUACACAAGCAGAUUUUUUGCUAACUUCAAGUAAUAAUAUCCAUGUUUCUUGCUACCUUACAAAAAAUUGAAAAAUACAUUUAGGAGUGAAAGAAGAAAGAAAUAUAUAGUUACUCAAAUUCAACAUUCAGCUUAUAAAAGCUGCAGCUUUUUUGUAGCUUUCGUAUACUUAUGUACUCAUCCUCUAGAAAAUAAUUGAUUUUCGAUUAUUUUGAAUCGUAUUACGCACCGAUGCGUUGAAAGACCCCGCAAGAGAUGGAGCGACAACACCUCUAAUAAUUAAACGGCAGAGGAUACGAGGAAAAACAAGCAUUUUGCUUACAUUAAAGAAGAAGAAGAAGAAUAACAUAAUGGUAUAGGCAAACAAUUCAAGAUAUUUAAACUUCAAUUCAUAAAAAGGAUGAUUAGGUACUAUGAUCAAUUAAGAAAUAAUACAGAAACGUCAUAGAGGACAUAAUAAACUAAAAUCUAAAAAACCCAAAACAAAAGACGUAAUAUUAUAUAUCAAAUAUCUCGUAAUAAUUGUUACGCUGUCUACCUAGGGCAGAAACCUCAGUAUUUAGAAAAUAGAUUAAAAUGUCAUCAAUAUAAUAGAAAAUUAGAACCGCAUUAACGUACCACAAAAUAUCAAAAAAAAACAUACAUUCAAUUAUAAAGAUUCAAAAAUCUUGAAACGGAAUCAAAUACAUGAAAAAGACAAUUAUUAGAAAUGAAAGAAAGAAAGCCAUUAAUGAUAAAAAUACCUAAUCAAUGUAAAAUUUAUAGUUCUAUUUUAUAAAUUUUAAUGCAACUACGAAUAAUUUAAUUGAUGGCUUCUAUAUAUUGUUAAAACAAAUUUUAAUUAAAUAUUGAUUAAUUAUUUCAAUUAAUCAAUAUUUAUAUCAAUAUUGAAUCCUAUGAAUUUAAAAAUGUUUACAAGAAUUAAUACAAUACAAUAUGGUCAAAUACAAUAUAAGAAAUAUCUAUAAAUGUAUAACAAUAAUAAAAUUUUACUUACCAUAAUUAAUUAAGAUUUCCGGUGAUUUUUGAUAUUAUUAAUGCUUGUAAAAAUUUUUAAACUCAUGGAAUUCAAUAUUCAAGUUGACAUUGAUAGAAAUAUUAAUUAAUUGAAAUAUUUAUUCUGGUAACUAUAAGAAUUUUCAACAAUUUUCAAUUGUUUAGAUUAUGAUUGACCUUGAAUUUUUAUAGGUUAGAUAAGGAUAAGUUGUGGUGAAUGAUGUUCAAUAUCGAUUGGUGAAUUUAUGGAUAACAUUAAAUUCCAAUAGGUUAGGUCUUUAUGAAUGUAGUUGAAUAUUUAUUGGCUAGAAUAUAAAUGACAAUAAAUUUUAUAGGUUAGGUCGUUAUAAGUGAAGUUGAAAUUUAUAGGUUAGGUGAGGUUAGUUGGUUUAAUGGCGUUGAAUUUUUAUAGAAAUUGUUUUUUCAAAAUCUAAAAGAUAUGAUAUGCAUAAAUUACACUAAGGUUAUUUAAAUCAGUUUUCUUAUUAAUGCAUUGAUAAUGUUAAACAAUAUAUUUUGUUCCUAAAAAUAAACGUUUUUUGUAGUUUU
Molecule: long non-coding RNA, 1569 nt
Organism: Diorhabda sublineata
Lineage: Eukaryota; Metazoa; Arthropoda; Insecta; Coleoptera; Chrysomelidae
Exons: 2
Source: RefSeq, a predicted model, not a curated record